RNAcentral lists this long non-coding RNA (2374 nucleotides) under Lathyrus oleraceus (garden pea). Its description in RNAcentral is "Pisum sativum (pea) long non-coding RNA (PSAT_LNC001027)". The record is from RNAcentral. Lineage: Eukaryota; Viridiplantae; Streptophyta; Magnoliopsida; Fabales; Fabaceae.
CAUUUCAUCCAAAAUACCAAUCACAUUCAUUGUAUAAUCGUACAAGUGUCCAUUACAUGAAAAAAAAAACAACUUUGACCAAAUGUUGACUUUGGUCAACCUUGACCAAACUCAACACAUGUUUUCUAAAUUUUUUUGAACUUCACUCUUCAUACUUCAUUCUUUAUCUCAUACAUCUUCCAACCACUUGGUAUGCCAUUUCAAGCAAACAUAUUUUCAUCCUUAAACUAUGGCCAUUGAGCUUCUUUAUUGACUAUGUUGAAACUUUAAUUCAAUGCACAUCAACCCUGCAUAUAGAUCAGUAACCCAAUCAAAGUUCAUACGAGCUUAUGACAUUACAUCCAAAAUCAUGGCAUGUAACAAGCAAUCACAAACAUUCAUUCUGUCAUGCAUAACCAAGUGCACAUUGGCAUUGCAUAAUCAUCAGCAUCUAACAAAACAAACAUUCAAACCACAUUGCUGCAUCACCACCUGAAUCAUACAAUAACCAUUGAAACUCAUGAGCCUUACCUGCUGCAAGCUUGGUCCUGAACCAUAACCAAAACCACAUGCAUAACCAUGUCAUAAGUGCAAUGAAACAUGAAUAAAUACCUAUAAUCUUGCAACAAUACCAAUUUGACCUAAACCUGCAAACAAAAUAUUCCAAGGGCCAAGCCAUAAUUCAGCUACACCAUGAGCCAAUGCAAGCUUGCCAUGGGCCAUACCUGCCUAGCAUCCCACCUGCAACAUACAAAACUUUGCAGCAUCAACAUAAACAUGAUUGCAUGACAACCAUAACAAAUCAUACAUGCACCUCAAGACUUACAUGAAACACGCAUACCAAGUCACAAAUGCAGCAAGCCAUACACACUAGUCUUGUACCUGCAACACCAAACAUAUCAUGAGCCAAUCAUCUAUGUUCAUAGGCCACACCUGCACACACCAACAAACAGGGAAAUUCGACAUUACAAAGCCAUAUUCCAAAAACUGCAUAUGUCAUAAAAACAUGAUUCCAAUUAACCUAUAAUCUAACAUAACACUAACAAAAACCUGCCAAUUGACUUAACAAGCAUCACCUUCAGCUCACCUAAUUGAUAAGUGCGAAGCCAUGUCUUACAAACCUGCAAUGCAAAAAAACCCAUGCCGACUCUACAUCAAGUCAUGACAAAACCUGCUGCAAUGCAAAAAGACCAAAGGUUCAUCAUGAGCAUCAUGCCCAACAGACCAAUGUAGUAGUUGCAAGGUAAUAAAAGCAUAAGCACAUGUCAUCAUGUAUUAACAUGCAUUCCAACACCAAGUAAUGCAUAAUAGUUAACAUCCACUAACAACCAUAGCAUGACAUUUAAUCACAACAUUACCAUUUCACCAGCAAUCAUUUAACAUUGGUUCAUGACAACCUUUCUAAUUAGUAGCAGGGCGUUACAUUCACUUAAAUACAACAAUCAUUUAACUUCCAUCAAUAGAAAGUGACCAAAGGGCAAUGAAAACAAAAUAUUACCAAUUCAGCAGGUCAUUCUUGUGCAACAACUCCUCAUUGUUCACCAGUUGCAACCUGCAUUAACCAAUCAAGAUAAGCUCAGACUUAUGACCAACUAUACAUUCACUCAUCCUAAUCCACUAACUAACUAAUUCAACCAAAUAACUGCCCACUCAGUGAGUUAACAUAUUGAACUCACUAAGUUCAUCACAACUAACUCCCAAGCAAAUCCCAAACCUAACCAUAACUAACUCCUAAGCUAAAUAGAUUCCAAACCUCACUACUAUAUAAUUCAUUCUCCAUCACCAUUGUGAUCACCUUUGGAUCAAAUCUCAAGUCCUUGCACUCUAUGAAUUUCCCUUCUCAUUCAAAACCUCACUACACGCACUAUCCAGAAGCUAUUGAAGCUCAUGAUUAGAGCUUCAAUACAGCUCGUGCUAAGCCUCCUCACCAGUACCAAAACUCUCUCAGUUUACCAUUCUCAAAUUCAGAAUAAGAAGAAGGAAGAUUUGAAAGCUAAAGCAAGAGAGAAAGAUUCAUGACCAUUUACCUGAAAGCUCAUCGUCGACGUCAUCAAAUUCGUCUUCUCCGGUAAGGUACUUGUGAAACCUUCACGUUUUUUCAAUUCUUUGUUACUAGCAUGUAGAGCGUGAUGAGAGGAUUCAAAGCCCUCAUCCCAAGGGCUUUGAAUCGCUGAGGAUGAAAUUUAAUUGGAAGAUUUCACUUUAGGAUUAUUGGAGUUAAGAGAUUCGGUUAGGGGUGUGGAGUUCUGAUUUCGUGGAAUUGAUCAAUGAUUCGAGUAGAGUGUGAGGAGGUGAUCAUUUUGGUAGCUCCAGAUUUCAUUUUGGUGGCCACCGCCGCCAGAAGCAACUUCCGGCACGGUGGCCAAUGGCGUAUGUCCGACGAGUCGUUUGGAGG